AAGAAACUCAAUUCAUUCAACGGCUAGGGUUCAGAGCCAAAAGCAUGUUCUGACCACCAGGCAAGUAGGCUACGUUCGGCGACUUGGAGAGGGUGGAUGCGAUCUCCCUUGAUGCUUCAAUUCUCCUCAGCUCGAUCAAACCCAUACCAGCAGCCGAUGUAGCAUCAGAAAUCAACUUAGCUGACUCGCUCUCACCCUCAGCCCUAAUAAUUGCAGCCCUUCUUUCUUGUUCGGCCUUCGCCACAAUAAAUUUUGAACGCUCAGCCUCUUGUUGAGCUACCUGCUUCUGCUCAACUGCCUUAGAGAACUCCGGGCUAUAAGACAAAUGAGUGAUGGCAACGUCAUCAAGCUCAAUGUUGAAGUCCUUAGCCCUCCGAACCAGGCUUUCACGUACAAGAGCCGAAACAUGAGGCCGCUCAGUCAAAAGCUGAUCGGCGUUGAAUUGGG
This 447-nucleotide unclassified non-coding RNA is filed under the name Hevea brasiliensis (rubber tree). Lineage: Eukaryota; Viridiplantae; Streptophyta; Magnoliopsida; Malpighiales; Euphorbiaceae. The record is from RNAcentral.